RNAcentral lists this long non-coding RNA (1469 nucleotides) under Vigna radiata. Its description in RNAcentral is "long non-coding RNA (VRAD_LNC004105)". The record is from RNAcentral. Lineage: Eukaryota; Viridiplantae; Streptophyta; Magnoliopsida; Fabales; Fabaceae.
UCUUAAUUUUCUCUCUCUCCUCAGCUUUUUGUUGUUUUCAAUGUAAAUAAAAUCCACUUAAUUGCAGAAGUAACAUAUAGUCUUUGUGGUGUAACAACAAGAACAUUCCAGAAAUAUCUCCAUGUUGUGCUUAUAAAUAUCAUCACCUCUCUUGUUAGUAAAAGGCAUCUAGCAACAAAGCCUGUUUAGAACCUGAGUUGGAGUUGGUGAUCCUGUGAAUACAGUAAUGGUAGACGAGGUUUAGCAACACAAGACUGAGAGGAAUACAAGACCGAGAACAAUACAAGGCAGAGAACAAUACAAGACCGAAUGACUAUAGCUAGCAAAACUUAAGAAGGACCAAUCCCUUUUCUAACCGAGAGCACACAAGACCGAGAGCAAUACAAGACUGAGACCGAACGGCUAUAUUCUGCAGAAUUCUGCAAAAUUAUGCAGAAUCAUGACAGCAUCACAUAUAACCAUUUCUAAGGAUUUUUACCAACUUCUAACAUCUUUAAUUUUUGUUUUAGAUUCAAUUAAACUUAUCUCAAUGAUUCUAAACAUCCCCACUACCUUUCUAAAGUGAUUUACACUCCAUUUUAACUCUAAAACGCCAAUUUUUCUAUCUUAGAGACUCAAAACCCGAUCUUACCUCUUUGCACCUAUUUUGAUCAAUUUAGUGACUCAAACAAGUCAAAAUACAGUGGCUAAAACUGUCCCCAACAGUCUAAAAACGCUGCAGACCUCAUUUGCUCAAAAUCAUUACCUCACUUCCUCUAAAAGACCUAAAGUAGACUCUAAAAACACUUGACUUCCUAUCUAACAGUACUACAACAGAAUUUCCAUCCAAACAGUUCCAACAUACACAAUUUCAGCAGUCUAAAUCAUUCCAAAACAGUUUAUAAUCAUCAAAUUCUAAAUUCACAUAUUUAAACACUUCCAUACAUGCAUCUCAAGUCACUAGAACCAAUUCCAUGCUUCCAACAACAUACCACUUCAAAAAUUAUCAUGCAUUCACAUCACACAACUAAAACGAAAAUCGCACAACUAAAACGAAAAUCGCACAACUAAAACGAAAAUCGCACAACUAGCUCCCCUUACCUCUAUGCAAGACGCCAAGUUCACGGAGAAACCCUAAACCACUCGUUUGCACUCCCAAAAUAUUAAAAGCACCUAUAUAAAUCAUCAAUUGAUGAUGGAGAAUGAACUUUAGAACUAAAUAGAAGUUAUAUAUGGAAGAAAACGAAAUGGGCUGCAUGCAACAAGUUUAAUCGCAUGCUUACAGCUCUAGGGAAAAUAAAAAAGGCAUCUUCUUACCGGUUGGAGGAAACGGAAAUUCAAAUAGUAGAAACUUACUCUUGAAUCCCUACCGAAUUAAGUAUCUUCUGUUCCACAAGUCAAGGAUCAAGAAUAUGAGUUUGAGAUGGAAGGGUAAUAGGGCAAAGAAGCAAAAGAGAGAAUGCUUGAAGAAAAGGGAAACAUUCUUAAAA